CAAGGUCGUUUCAUUUUCGUCAGAAAGUUGAAGACAAUUGAUAAUUGAUGUUUAUUUUGUUUUAUUUAUGCAAUUUAAAUUUACAUUAUGAUGUCACAAUUGCAAUUUACAGCGAAAUGGACCCCCCUUUUCUAGUUUUUUACAAAUAAUAUUCUGUAAUAUUUGAACUUAUUUAAUGUGCUGUGCUCUUUUCCAUACAAUAUUGUAAGAACAGUAUAGUUUAUACAUUUUAACCUUCUACUAUUAAUACAGAAUAAUAACUAUAAACUGAAUACACAUAAACAAAACAAAUAUUGAAAAAGGGGGAUCCAUUCCACACGCGCAUGUGACUGCAUUUAACAUGUUUUAUCUUUAAUGAGGUCAAAUUACAGAAUGGGCCCGACCCCCUUCUAUAUUAUAGAUAUCAGUUUGCAUUAACUGAUAAUAGCAAGGUAUAAAUAAGGGCCGGUAUAGCCCACCAGGCUGUAUAUCUCUCCUGUGAUAUGACUAAUUUUCUGGUUUACACCGCUUUUUUUGGGGGGAGAAACCCAUUUAAAAAAAAACAGUACCAUGCCAAAGCAUACUGAAGGUCUAUGUCAAUUUGAUAAUAGGUAUAAACUAUAUAACUAAAAUAUUAUUUGUUUUCUAAAAAAAUCAUUUGUGGGAUUUUGGUGUUAUUUUGUACCGUUAAUUGCAUUGUAAAAAAAAAAUGUGGUUUCCAGUGGCUCUGGUGACUCCAACAGAUUUUACCCCUAUACCUCCUUGUAAAACCAAAGAGAAUAACAAUAAGAGAGACAUUUACAAAUAUGAUUUGAUAAGAUGCCAACUGGUUUUAAAUGAAAUAAGAUAUCUGAAAUAUUUAGAGCAAUCGAUAAAAAGUGAUCUAAGUGUAAGUAAAUGUAUAAACUGGGCAAUCUGCAACCGAUACGAUUUUUGUUCUGAGUAUGCAUGAACUAAUUAUACUGCUAAACGCCAAGAAGGAAAGAAAAUAAAUCAAUCUUUUCUCCUUACAACAUUGUCUAUACAGUUUCUUAGUAAGAUAAUACUUGUAUUAAGAUUUUAAAUAACUUCAUUGUCAAAAAUUAUACGAUCGGUUACUGCAUUUAAUUUGGACAUAUUUCAGAACAAUCAUGCAUGUAUAGUAACAUCUAGAGUUUCCACAUAUUUCCUUUUCUUCAAUGUAUGCACUAACCAUGCACUAUAAAUCGAAAAUAAAUAUUGAUUAUCAUUGAGUGACCUUGCACAGAAGACCAGGAUGUACGUUGUUUUAAAGUCCAGUCUUUGCAUGGGGCUUUACCUUUGUAUUGAUAACAUAUAAUGUGCAUAUUUCCGUAUGGCAGUUUAUUCGGUUAUUCUAGACUACAAAUAUAUUUUUUCGUACGGCUCCAUUCCUGAUAACGAUUGUGAUGAUGUUUUUCAAGUGCGCAUUUAGGGGCAACGCAGGGGACCCGGCCCCAUUAUGGAGCUAUAUAUAAAUAUAUAUAAAUGUAAUGCAUAGACUUUUAACAUGUCCGACUCCAAACAUUUUCUAGUUUGUGGCCUUCUUUCUAAUUGUUCUGGUUACAAUCCUAUACCGUUUUAGGUCAUGCAGCUCUUCAUUACUAUCCGACUUUUAUAGUUAUUAAGAUGAGCACAUACACCACUGCUCCAUGUUAUGGUAACGUUGGCGCGCUCGUAAACAUCUUUAAACCCGUCACAUUCUGUAUUUGCUUGGCUAAAGCCAGGAACCAUGCAGUUACGUAAUCUUGACCUGACUUUAGGUACAAAUUCGAUUUAGUAACACCUAAGCAUGGAAAGCAGAUACUAAAAGCAUCUGGCCUUGAAGUUCUUUCUGAUUCGAAGUGAGAUCCGUUCUAUGGGAAAUGAUUACGCAUACUUUACGGUUCCGAUAUACCUUUUUUUCCGUGUCCAAUUUCAGUUUAUAAACAAACGUCACGUCAGACCCAUAUGCAAAGUUGGGAGCUCGAGAAUUACAACGUCGUCUCCAUGCGAACCAUAACUGAUGGAUGAAGUCACCAGUGAAAUGUUAAUGGGUUCCCUCGCCCUACCCUUAUAAAACUACAUAUAUAUGGCAUACACAUUAUCUCAGUCCCAGUCAUAAUGCUGCCUUUCUUUAACCAGGCUCAUUUUCAAAAUCCUAGAAAUAAUUGAAAUCUAUCUAAAUCGUUCCAUUUUCUAGAUUUGCUCUGUGGCAAAACUUUGCGGAUAACCAGGAAAAUG
This 2199-nucleotide long non-coding RNA is filed under the name Mytilus galloprovincialis (Mediterranean mussel). The record is from RNAcentral. Lineage: Eukaryota; Metazoa; Mollusca; Bivalvia; Mytilida; Mytilidae.